AACGCGAAGAACCUUACCUAAGCUUGACAUCCUUUUGACCGAUGCCUAAUCGCAUCUUUCCCUUCGGGGACAGAAGUGACAGGUGGUGCAUGGUUGUCGUCAGCUCGUGUCGUGAGAUGUUGGGUUAAGUCCCGCAACGAGCGCAACCCUUGCCUUUAGUUGCCAGCAUUAAGUUGGGCACUCUAGAGGGACUGCCAGGGAUAACCUGGAGGAAGGUGGGGAUGACGUCAAAUCAUCAUGCCCCUUAUGCUUAGGGCUACACACGUGCUACAAUGGGUGGUACAGAGGGCAGCCAAGUCGUGAGGCGGAGCUAAUCCCUUAAAGCCAUUCUCAGUUCGGAUUGUAGGCUGAAACUCGCCUACAUGAAGCUGGAGUUACUAGUAAUCGCAGAUCAGAAUGCUGCGGUGAAUGCGUUCCCGGGCCUGUACACACCG
Molecule: ribosomal RNA, 434 nt
Filed under: uncultured bacterium
Lineage: Bacteria
Description: bacterial SSU rRNA
Rfam family: Bacterial small subunit ribosomal RNA
Source: RNAcentral